UACAGAGGUCUCAAGCGUUGUUCGGAUUCAUUGGGCGUAAAGGGUGCGUAGGCGGCGCGGUAAGUCGGGUGUGAAAUCUUGGAGCUUAACUCCGAAACUGCAUUUGAUACUGCCGUGCUUGAGGACUGGAGAGGAGACUGGAAUUUACGGUGUAGCGGUGAAAUGCGUAGAUAUCGUAAGGAAGACCAGUGGCGAAGGCGGGUCUCUGGACAGUUCCUGACGCUGAGGCACGAAGGCCAGGGGAGCAAACGGG
RNAcentral lists this ribosomal RNA (253 nucleotides) under uncultured bacterium. RNAcentral's name for it is "partial 16S ribosomal RNA". It matches the Rfam family "Bacterial small subunit ribosomal RNA", at positions 524 to 776 of the family's 1533-position model. The record is from RNAcentral.